Paralichthys olivaceus (Japanese flounder) is the source of this 273-nucleotide long non-coding RNA. RefSeq lists it as uncharacterized. The record is from RefSeq and is a predicted model, not a curated record. Lineage: Eukaryota; Metazoa; Chordata; Actinopteri; Pleuronectiformes; Paralichthyidae.
UUGGUCCCUCCCGGAACGUUUAUUUGUGGUUCGUUUCCCGGGGGACUGUUUUGGAUGGGACACCCUGGAGCAGACAGAGGAGAGGACGACGGAGCCGACUACAUGCCGCAGCAUCCGCAAGAAGACAGCUCAAUCACUGGUCAAACUAUCACACACAACGAUAAAUAAUGAGUUGCUAGAAAAUGUGCAAAUAUACAAUGUGCAAAAUGUUCUGUGCAAAUAUACAAUGUGCAAAAUGUUCUGUGCAAAUAAAGUGCAAAUACAGUUAUAAAA